GCUGAAAUGUAGAAUAAUGCAUAGAACAAGAAAACAGAAGUAAGCAUGUGAAAGCAUGGUGAUUUCUGUUUUCUUGUUUUCUGCAUUCUUCAGCAUUUUAGCUUUACCGAAAUGCUUUAUUUGCAACUAAUUAUGUUUCUUUAUGUUUAGAUUCUGUUCAUGUAGUACAGAAAUCUACGUCCGAUGGCAAGCCUUUGACUUGUGCUAAUUGUGGGACCGUUGGCUUUGCUGGUUCGCCUUCCCCAAUGAAGCGGCAGCGAUCUUCUUAGUUUGUCACUCUCUUUUGAUUUCCUUUUUUUUUUUUUUUUUUGUUUGUGCUCUAAUGAAGUAAUUUAGAGUUGGCUCUAUGCCUCAGUUUAAUUUUUUGUUUGUACGUUUUUUGUUUGAACGUAUUGUUCGAAUUGACAAUUUGUUAUUUAUGUCUAAUAUCUAAAUAAAAUAAAACAAUUUAGAUCCUG
Frankliniella occidentalis (western flower thrips) is the source of this 458-nucleotide long non-coding RNA. RefSeq lists it as uncharacterized. The transcript has 2 exons. The record is from RefSeq and is a predicted model, not a curated record. NCBI's taxonomy places the organism in Eukaryota, Metazoa, Arthropoda, Insecta, Thysanoptera, Thripidae.